Long non-coding RNA from Pongo pygmaeus (Bornean orangutan), 1099 nucleotides. RefSeq lists it as uncharacterized. The transcript is spliced from 4 exons. NCBI's taxonomy places the organism in Eukaryota, Metazoa, Chordata, Mammalia, Primates, Hominidae. The record is from RefSeq and is a predicted model, not a curated record.
CCCUGCUCACUACUGCUUUCUCCAGACUGAGGCUAAACCCAUGCAGGAUGGCCUGGUGAACCAUCUGCUUCCAGCCCCUUCAGAAUGGCCCUCCAUGUACUCUCUGCUCUUUACACAUAGACAGGAGAGAGUGCUGGGGUCCAGAGUUGCCCUUGAAGAGAGGGAUGGAAAAGCGGCUCGGACAUGGGAAGGGGUGACCAAAAGAGAAAGCCUGGACUCCUCAUCUGCCCCCUGGGAGAUCAGUUCUCUCCAAGAGGAGCCCCUGGAUUUGGAAAGUGCUCAAGAAGGCAGGACUGAGCACUGAACUGCCCAGAACCCUCUACCUGCUGGCAGCAGCUAGGCCAAACUCUUGGGUUUGAAGAGUGAGAGUACUGAGCACCAGGCUGCUCUCUGGCUUUGGAGCUGGCCCACUGGGCCGCAGAUAAUUCCUCAGCAGGUACUGUUGGAGACCAUACCCUUGUCCCAGCACCAGAGCUCCAGGAAGACCAGGACAUGAGACAUAAAUCCACGGUGCUUCAUCUCCCUGCUGGGUCACUGAAGAUCACGACCAUUCAUCUCAACCUCAGGUCUCAACCUUAGAAAUAAACCUUUCCUCAUAAGGAAGAGAGUGAAUGCCAGUUGAGACCUCACUACAUAAAGACGCAGCUGCUCACAAAUCUUCCACCGUGAAUCCCUCUGGAAUCUUGAAAUUGGUAGUAGGAUCUCCAUUUUACAGAUGCAACAACAAUUUUCCUCACUUCCUGGAAAUGGCUCUGCUCUAGCAUUUCAACAUUAUCCAGGAGAUGCCUUAGUGAUGGUGAUGGUUAAGUCAGAGCACCUUAAAGAGUCUGAGUGCUGAAUCUUCCAAAGUGUUCAAAUCUGUGGUAAGGGAAAUUAAGCACAAGGUAAGUUGAGGGUUGGACUGUGUGCUGUUGGACUCUUGUUCUUGUGACAAGGUCAGCAGUCCCUUGUGGGCAUGUCAGUUCCUGCCCCCGCACAGGCAUGUGUACACACACUCACGUGCCCACACACACUCCUGGCUUUUGCUUUUUUCCCAAGUGGGAAACUGUUUUUUACACCGUGACUUGCUGAUCUGUCUUGUAGCAGGGAUCCAGGAACA